Molecule: long non-coding RNA, 1320 nt
Filed under: Bos grunniens (domestic yak)
Lineage: Eukaryota; Metazoa; Chordata; Mammalia; Artiodactyla; Bovidae
Description: lncRNA (ENSBGRG00000017812.1)
Source: RNAcentral
AUAACACUUUCAUUUCACUUUUCAAGUUCUCUGUACACAUUGAUUAUGUUUAACGAGACCGUGUGCUUUCUUCAAUAACAUUUAGACCUGACAGUGUUCUGUGUGCACUAAAACAUGGAGACCCGGGUGGAGACCUGGCCUGGCCUCUGUCUGGAAAACUCCAUGCCUGCAUCUGAAUGUCAGUGCUCAGAUGUCUGGGGUCUGGGGCUGAGGUGGGCUUCUCUGGGGAACCGUGCUCUUCUCUGAGUGGGGUUCCAUGGCCCUCCCAGGGGUCAAUGCUACGGUAGAGCUCUUAGCCUUUUCUCCCUGCUAGGUUCACCUUCCUGGGCUCCUGAAGACUCCUCAGGUGGGCUACCUGGUAAUUAUUGCAAUUUUCCAGCACAUUCAGGUUGAGUAGGGAGGCAGGUUCACCUGGUGAAUUGAUUCCAGGGCACAUGGAUCAGGCAAAGGCCAAUGGGCAGCAGGUGAGGUUGCUGCUGUGACCUUCCAGUCGACUCUCCUCUGAAGAGAACAGAGCUGCCCCUCAUCUUUCAGCCCAGCUCUCCUGUUUUCUCAGCACCUCAGCGGAACAAGAAAGACAGAGCCUGCCAGAACCAAGAGACCAGACCUGCCCCUCGUCUCCCAGCCCUGUGUCUGGUGUGUUUUCUCAGCACAUCAGUGAACCAAGAAAGGACUGAGCCUGCGAGAACUAAGGACACUGGGCUGCACUCUAAGAAAUUCCUGGAUCUCCCCUGGAUCCUGACCAUCAUGUGCCCAGAGAAAUUGUCGGCCGUCCCUACUCAGCAGAGACCAGACCUGCCCCUUGUCUCCCAGCCCUGCGCCUGGUGUGUUUUCUCAAUACCUCAGUGGAACGAGAAAGGACCGAGCCUGCCAGAACCAAGGGGGUUACAGGAACCCACUCAUUUCCACCUUAGAAGCCCAACCAGCAGAAACCUGGGGUCCUAACCAAGGGUCGUUGGACGCCAGGUCCUGGGUCUGGGGAGGUGGUGUCACCUUGGAGAGAGUGGAAGUGUGCCCCACGUGCAGAGUCUGGGGAUUGUGUGGGUCUCACCCCAUCCACACGGGUUACAUAUCUACUCUUUACCUGCAGUGUGUCUGUCAGGGAUUCCCAACAUCUGAAUUGAGGGUGUUGCCCUGAUUAACCUGUGGUCCUUUUCCUUCUCUUCGCUUUGUCAUGUUCACAUGAGGUCAGGCACCUUUGAGUGGGUUGCUGCUCUGUGUUCUGAGUGUAAACCUUUGGUGGUGUCAUAUUAAUAUCAUAGCAUAUCCCAUAUCUAAUUCAUAGAGAUACCACUGUCUGGUUUCCCCUCCACCAAGCUC